Molecule: long non-coding RNA, 5630 nt
Organism: Pecten maximus
Lineage: Eukaryota; Metazoa; Mollusca; Bivalvia; Pectinida; Pectinidae
Exons: 5
Source: RefSeq, a predicted model, not a curated record
CCUGGGUAGUAUAUUGGUGAUACCCACUAGUGUCCCUGGGUAGUAUAUUGGUGAUAUCCACUAGUGUCCCUGGGUAGUAUAUUGGUGAUAUCCACUAGUGUCCCUGGGUAGUAUAUUGGUGAUAUCCACUAGUGUCCCUGGGUAGUAUAUUGGUGGUACCCACUAGUGUCCCUGGGUAGUAUAUUGGUGAUAUCCACUAGUGUCCCUGGGUAGUAUAUUGGUGAUAUCAACUAGUGUCCCUGGGUAGUAUAUUGGUGAUAUCCACUAGUGUCCCUGGGUAGUAUAUUGGUGAUAUCCACUAGUGUCCCUGGGUAGUAUAUUGGUGAUAUCCACUAGUGUCCCUGGGUAGUAUAUUGGUGAUAUCCACUAGUGUCCCUGGGUAGUAUAUUGGUGGUACCCACUAGUGUCCCUGGGUAAUAUAUUGGUGAUAUCCACUAGUGUCCCUGGGUAGUAUAUUGGUGAUAUCCACUAGUGUCCCUGGGUAGUAUAUUGGUGAUAUCCACUAGUGUCCCUGGGUAGUAUAUUGGUGAUAUCCACUAGUGUCCCUGGGUAGUAUAUUGGUGAUAUCCACUAGUGUCCCUGGGUAGUAUAUUGGUGAUAUCCACUAGUGUCCCUGGGUAGUAUAUUGGUGGUACCCACUAGUGUCCCUGGGUAGUAUAUUGGUGGUACCCACUAGUGUCCCUGGGUAGUAUAUUGGUGAUACCCACUAGUGUCCCUGGGUAGUAUAUUGGUGAUAUCCACUAGUGUCCCUGGGUAGUAUAUUGGUGAUAUCCACUAGUGUCCCUGGGUAGUAUAUUGGUGAUAUCCACUAGUGUCCCUGGGUAGUAUAUUCCUUAAGUUGGUUGGUGAUAUCCACUAGUGUUCCUGGGUAGUAUAUUGGUGAUAUCCACUAGUGUCCCUGGGUAGUAUAUUGGUGAUAUCCACUAGUGUCCCUGGGUAGUAUAUUGGUGGUACCCACUAGUGUCCCUGGGUAGUAUAUUGGUGAUAUCCACUAGUGUCCCUGGGUAGUAUAUUACUUAUGGUUGGUUGGUGAUAUCCACUAGUGUCCCUGGGUAGUAUAUUACUUAUGGUUGGUUGGUGAUAUCCACUAGUGUCCCUGGGUAGUAUAUUGGUGAUAUCCACUAGUGUCCCUGGGUAGUAUAUUGGUGAUAUCCACUAGUGUCCCUGGGUAGUAUAUUCCUUAUGGUUGGUUGGUGAUAUCCACUAGUGUCCCUGGGUAGUAUAUUGGUGAUAUCCACUAGUGUCCCUGGGUAGUAUAUUGGUGGUAUCCACUAGUGUCCCUGGGUAGUAUAUUGGUGGUACCCACUAGUGUCCCUGGGUAGUAUAUUGGUGGUACCCACUAGUGUCCCUGGGUAGUAUAUUGGUGAUAUCCACUAGUGUCCCUGGGUAGUAUAUUGGUGGUAUCCACUAGUGUCCCUGGGUAGUAUAUUGGUGGUACCCACUAGUGUCCCUGGGUAGUAUAUUGGUGAUAUCCACUAGUGUCCCUGGGUAGUAUAUUGGUGAUAUCCACUAGUGUCCCUGGGUAGUAUAUUGGUGAUAUCCACUAGUGUCCCUGGGUAGUAUAUUGGUGAUAUCCACUAGUGUCCCUGGGUAGUAUAUUUCUUAUGGUUGGUUGGUGGUAUCCACUAGUGUCCCUGGGUAGUAUAUUCCUUAUGGUUGGUUGGUGAUAUCCACUAGUGUCCCUGGGUAGUAUAUUGGUGAUAUCAACUAGUGUCCCUGGGUAGUAUAUUGGUGAUAUCCACUAGUGUCCCUGGGUAGUAUAUUGGUGGUACCCACUAGUGUCCCUGGGUAAUAUAUUGGUGAUAUCCACUAGUGUCCCUGGGUAGUAUAUUGGUGAUAUCCACUAGUGUCCCUGGGUAGUAUAUUGGUGAUAUCCACUAGUGUCCCUGGGUAGUAUAUUGGUGAUAUCCACUAGUGUCCCUGGGUAGUAUAUUGGUGAUAUCCACUAGUGUCCCUGGGUAGUAUAUUGGUGAUAUCCACUAGUGUCCCUGGGUAGUAUAUUCCUUAAGUUGGUUGGUGAUAUCCACUAGUGUUCCUGGGUAGUAUAUUGGUGAUAUCCACUAGUGUCCCUGGGUAGUAUAUUGGUGAUAUCCACUAGUGUCCCUGGGUAGUAUAUUGGUGGUACCCACUAGUGUCCCUGGGUAGUAUAUUGGUGAUAUCCACUAGUGUCCCUGGGUAGUAUAUUACUUAUGGUUGGUUGGUGAUAUCCACUAGUGUCCCUGGGUAGUAUAUUACUUAUGGUUGGUUGGUGAUAUCCACUAGUGUCCCUGGGUAGUAUAUUGGUGAUAUCCACUAGUGUCCCUGGGUAGUAUAUUGGUGAUAUCCACUAGUGUCCCUGGGUAGUAUAUUCCUUAUGGUUGGUUGGUGAUAUCCACUAGUGUCCCUGGGUAGUAUAUUGGUGAUAUCCACUAGUGUCCCUGGGUAGUAUAUUGGUGGUAUCCACUAGUGUCCCUGGGUAGUAUAUUGGUGGUACCCACUAGUGUCCCUGGGUAGUAUAUUGGUGGUACCCACUAGUGUCCCUGGGUAGUAUAUUGGUGAUAUCCACUAGUGUCCCUGGGUAGUAUAUUGGUGGUAUCCACUAGUGUCCCUGGGUAGUAUAUUGGUGGUACCCACUAGUGUCCCUGGGUAGUAUAUUGGUGAUAUCCACUAGUGUCCCUGGGUAGUAUAUUGGUGAUAUCCACUAGUGUCCCUGGGUAGUAUAUUGGUGAUAUCCACUAGUGUCCCUGGGUAGUAUAUUGGUGAUAUCCACUAGUGUCCCUGGGUAGUAUAUUGGUGAUAUCCACUAGUGUCCCUGGGUAGUAUAUUGGUGAUAUCCACUAGUGUCCCUGGGUAGUAUAUUUCUUAUGGUUGGUUGGUGGUAUCCACUAGUGUCCCUGGGUAGUAUAUUCCUUAUGGUUGGUUGGUGGUAUCCACUAGUGUCCCUGGGUGGUAUUAUGGGUCGGUGUAGUUAGUCCUAGUUGGAACCAGUUGACAGUGACACCCAUAAUAAGAAUCCAGACCUCAUUUGUAACACUUCCCAAGUGUGACACCAGCAGAGGUCCCAUCAGGAACUCUUGUUUUAUUAACAAGUGUGACACCAGCAGAGGUCCCAUCAGGAACUCUUGUUUUAUUAACAAGUGUGCAUUUAAUUGGUGCUGUGUCUUAAAAUAACUCUUUGUUGUGUAAUUUCCAUGUCAGUCUGAAUUAGGAUUACUCCUGGGGGUAUGGGACCAAUGCUCAGUUUUGUUGUUAUUGUCAGUUUGAUUUUAUACAUGGAACUAAUAACGUGUAUGUUUUCAGCUUUACGGAUUUCUUUUGCAGAGUUGAAGUUAUGAUUGUUUUGAUUGUAAGUGAUGAUUUUCAGUGUUAUCAGUAUUUGGUUGUGAUUAACUAAAACCGUGUGUCAUUGACUAACAUUAAGGCUAUCAGAUGAUUUAUCAUUCAGGGAUAUAUUACCUUGAUGUUGCUUAAUAUUCAAGAUAGAAACAGGAACAGGUGUAACUACCUGGUAUUACUGUUGAUAUAGUGGUAACAGGUGUGCCUACCUGGUAUUACUGUUAAUAUAGUGAUAACAGGUGUGCCUACCUGGUAUUACUGUUAAUAUAGUGAUAACAGGUGUGCCUACCUGUAUUACUGUUAAUAUAGAGGUAACAGGUGUGCCUACCUGGUAUUACCAUUCAUAUAGUGGAAACAGGUGUGCCUACCUGGUAUUACUGUUAAUAUAGUGAUAACAGGUGUAACUACCUGGUAUUACUGUUAAUAUAGUGGUAACAGGUGUGCCUACCUGGUAUUACUGUUAAUAUAGUGGUAACAGGUGUGCCUACCUGGUAUUACUGUUAAUAUAGUGGUAACAGGUGUGCCUACCUGGUAUUACUGUUAAUAUAGUGAUAACAGGUGUGCCUACCUGGUAUUACUGUUAAUAUAGUGAUAACAGGUGUGCCUACCUGGUGUUACUGUUAAUAUAGUGGUAACAGGUGUGCCUACCUGGUAUUACUGUUAAUAUAGUGGUAACAGGUGUGCCUACCUGGUAUUACUGUUAAUAUAGUGGUAACAGGUGUGCCUACCUUGUAUUACUGUUAAUACAGUGAUAACAGAACAGGUGUGCCUACCUGGUAUUACUGUUAAUAUAGUGAUAACAGGUGUGCCUACCUGGUAUUACUGUUAAUAUAGUGAUAACAGGUGUGCCUACCUGUAUUACUGUUAAUAUAGAGGUAACAGGUGUGCCUACCUGGUAUUACCAUUCAUAUAGUGGAAACAGGUGUGCCUACCUGGUAUUACUGUUAAUAUAGUGAUAACAGGUGUAACUACCUGGUAUUACUGUUAAUAUAGUGGUAACAGGUGUGCCUACCUGGUAUUACUGUUAAUAUAGUGGUAACAGGUGUGCCUACCUGGUAUUACUGUUAAUAUAGUGGUAACAGGUGUGCCUACCUGGUAUUACUGUUAAUAUAGUGAUAACAGGUGUAACUACCUGGUAUUACUGUUAAUAUAGUGGUAACAGGUGUGCCUACCUGGUAUUACUGUUAAUAUAGUGAUAACAGGUGUGCCUACCUGGUAUUACUGUUAAUAUAGUGAUAACAGGUGUGCCUACCUGGUAUUACUGUUAAUAUAGUGAUAACAGGUGUGCCUACCUGUAUUACUGUUAAUAUAGAGGUAACAGGUGUGCCUACCUGGUAUUACCAUUCAUAUAGUGGAAACAGGUGUGCCUACCUGGUAUUACUGUUAAUAUAGUGAUAACAGGUGUAACUACCUGGUAUUACUGUUAAUAUAGUGGUAACAGGUGUGCCUACCUGGUAUUACUGUUAAUAUAGUGGUAACAGGUGUGCCUACCUGGUAUUACUGUUAAUAUAGUGGUAACAGGUGUGCCUACCUGGUAUUACUGUUAAUAUAGUGGUAACAGGUGUGCCUACCUGGUAUUACUGUUAAUAUAGUGGUAACAGGUGUGCCUACCUGGUAUUACUGUUAAUAUAGUGAUAACAGGUGUGCCUACCUGGUAUUACUGUUAAUAUAGUGGUAACAGGUGUGCCUACCUGGUAUUACUGUUAAUAUAGUGGUAACAGGUGUGCCUACCUGGUAUUACUGUUAAUAUAGUGGUAACAGGUGUGCCUACCUUGUAUUACUGUUAAUACAGUGAUAACAGAACAGGUGUGCCUACCUGGUAUUACUGUUAAUAUAGUGAUAACAGGUGUGCCUACCUGGUAUUACUGUUAAUAUAGUGAUAACAGGUGUGCCUACCUGUAUUACUGUUAAUAUAGAGGUAACAGGUGUGCCUACCUGGUAUUACCAUUCAUAUAGUGGAAACAGGUGUGCCUACCUGGUAUUACUGUUAAUAUAGUGAUAACAGGUGUAACUACCUGGUAUUACUGUUAAUAUAGUGGUAACAGGUGUGCCUACCUGGUAUUACUGUUAAUAUAGUGGUAACAGGUGUGCCUACCUGGUAUUACUGUUAAUAUAGUGGUAACAGGUGUGCCUACCUGGUAUUACUGUUAAUAUAGUGAUAACAGGUGUGCCUACCUGGUAUUACUGUUAAUAUAGUGGUAACAGGUGUGCCUACCUGGUAUUACUGUUAAUAUAGUGGUAACAGGUGUGCCUACCUGGUAUUACUGUUAAUAUAGUGGUAACAGAACAGGUGUGCCUACCUGGUGUUAUAGUAA